RNAcentral lists this ribosomal RNA (489 nucleotides) under uncultured bacterium. RNAcentral's name for it is "partial 16S ribosomal RNA". It matches the Rfam family "Bacterial small subunit ribosomal RNA", at positions 30 to 507 of the family's 1533-position model. The record is from RNAcentral.
UUGAACGCUGGCGGCAGGCCUAACACAUGCAAGUCGAACGGUAACAGGAAGCAGCUUGCUGCUUUGCUGACGAGUGGCGGACGGGUGAGUAAUGUCUGGGAAACUGCCCGAUGGAGGGGGAUAACUACUGGAAACGGUAGCUAAUACCGCAUAACGUCGCAAGACCAAAGAGGGGGACCUUAGGGCCUCUUGCCAUCGGAUGUGCCCAGAUGGGAUUAGCUAGUAGGUGGGGUAACGGCUCACCUAGGCGACGAUCCCUAGCUGGUCUGAGAGGAUGACCAGCCACACUGGAACUGAGACACGGUCCAGGCUCCUACGGGAGGCAGCAGUGGGGAAUAUUGCACAAUGGGCGCAAGCCUGAUGCAGCCAUGCCGAGUGUAUGAAGAAGGCCUUCGGGUUGUAAAGUACUUUCAGCGGGGAGGAAGGGAGUAAAGUUAAUACCUUUGCUCAUUGACGUUACCCGCAGAAGAAGCACCGGCUAACUCCGUG